UCUUAUAUGCUUAAUUAAACAUUGUAUAUAUAACAUUGUUAGCGGAUUGUUUGUACACUGUGACAAUAAGAGUAUUGUUAACCAGGCAACAUGAAGUACUUCAUCAUAUUCGUCUUUUGUAUCGUCGCUAUAACAAAUGUUAUGGCACAGAGUGGUGUGACAUGCUACACCAACGACGACUGUAAUCAUAUUUGCAACCGAAGAUGUGACUUGUACUCAACUAUAGGUGUAUGCUCCAACUACAUCUGUUAUUGCAUGGUCGUAAACCAAGGAGUUGGAUCCCUGCCGUUAUCGGCACGCCCUUGAAUAAAAAAAGACAUGUUAUGA
Molecule: long non-coding RNA, 327 nt
Organism: Vanessa atalanta (red admiral)
Lineage: Eukaryota; Metazoa; Arthropoda; Insecta; Lepidoptera; Nymphalidae
Exons: 2
Source: RefSeq, a predicted model, not a curated record